This 770-nucleotide ribosomal RNA is filed under the name Mycolicibacterium sp. RNAcentral describes it as "bacterial SSU rRNA". It matches the Rfam family "Bacterial small subunit ribosomal RNA", at positions 72 to 854 of the family's 1533-position model. Lineage: Bacteria; Bacillati; Actinomycetota; Actinomycetes; Mycobacteriales; Mycobacteriaceae. The record is from RNAcentral.
AAGGCCCUUCGGGGUACUCGAGUGGCGAACGGGUGAGUAACACGUGGGUGAUCUGCCCUGCACUUUGGGAUAAGCCUGGGAAACUGGGUCUAAUACCGAAUACACCCUGCUGGUCGCAUGGCCUGGUGGGGGAAAGCUUUUGCGGUGUGGGAUGGGCCCGCGGCCUAUCAGCUUGUUGGUGAGGUUACGGCUCACCAAGGCGACGACGGGUAGCCGGCCUGAGAGGGUGACCGGCCACACUGGGACUGAGAUACGGCCCAGACUCCUACGGGAGGCAGCAGUGGGGAAUAUUGCACAAUGGGCGCAAGCCUGAUGCAGCGACGCCGCGUGGGGGAUGACGGCCUUCGGGUUGUAAACCUCUUUCAGUAGGGACGAAGCGCAAGUGACGGUACCUACAGAAGAAGGACCGGCCAACUACGUGCCAGCAGCCGCGGUAAUACGUAGGGUCCGAGCGUUGUCCGGAAUUACUGGGCGUAAAGAGCUCGUAGGUGGUUUGUCGCGUUGUUCGUGAAAACCGGGGGCUUAACCCUCGGCGUGCGGGCGAUACGGGCAGACUUGAGUACUGCAGGGGAGACUGGAAUUCCUGGUGUAGCGGUGGAAUGCGCAGAUAUCAGGAGGAACACCGGUGGCGAAGGCGGGUCUCUGGGCAGUAACUGACGCUGAGGAGCGAAAGCGUGGGGAGCGAACAGGAUUAGAUACCCUGGUAGUCCACGCCGUAAACGGUGGGUACUAGGUGUGGGUUUCCUUCCUUGGGAUCCGUGCCGUAGCUA